GCCUUCUUAAUUUGCUCCUAGAACGUACGUGGUCUUGGCGAUAACGAUAAAUGCUCCGAUGUUCUCUCCGAACUAGUGAUGACUAAGCCGCACAUAACCCUCUUGCAAGAAUCAAAACUCGACACUCUCCCCGACUCUAAACUAAAAUCCUUUUUGCCACGAACACUUGAUCAAGCUUUCUCGCUACCAGCUGUCGAGUCCGCUGGUGGCACUAUCUCUGCCAUCAACUCUGCCUUUUUUCAAGUCGUCUCUUACUCACAUCUAACCUUCUCCUCUACCCUAAUCCUACAAACAACUGCGUGCACCCAACACAUUGCCAUCACAAACAUCUACGCUCCAUCAUCACGAUCACUGAAGCAAGCCUUUUUAAACGAGCUCUCAUCCAUCUCACAACCCGAUGACAUCCCCUGGAUUAUCGCUCGUGACUUCAACUUCAUCCGCUUCCCCUGUGAUAAAAACUCUGCGUUCCAUCACUCCGAAGCCAAUGCUUUUAACCAAACCUUAGAUGAUCUAGCUCUCAUCGAACUGCCCCUACUUGAUUGCAGGUUCACCUGGUCGAACAAUCGAGCCACCCCCACCCUAGAACGGCUAGAUCGUGUUUUCUUUAACCUUGCAUGGGCGGACGCCUUCCCUAACACCUCACAAUCCUCUCGCACACGCUUCAUGUCCGAUCACGUCCCACUCCUCAUCCACAUCACCACCACCAUCCCACGAUCUAAUUUUUUCAAAUUUGAGCCUGGCUGGGCCAACUUCCGGCCAUGUAGCGACAUCAUCAGCCAAAUUUGGGCCUCACAGCCCUCCUCGCCAUCCAACGCAGCCGCUUCCCUUGUCUUCGCGCUCAAAAAAAUCCCGUACCCGUCUCAAAAAGUGGGCACGUUUGCGCAUUCCUGCCCCCCUCCGCGAAGCUCGCUGCCAUGUUGCAAUCACUGCCUUAGACCUCAUGGAGGAAAACAGACCUCUAUCUACACCAGAAUCUCUCGCGCGCAAAAUCAUUGUCUCCGUUCUCAAGUGCACCAUUCAGGAGAAAAUGUCGUACUGGCGUUGGCGUGCUAA
RNAcentral lists this ribosomal RNA (1053 nucleotides) under Triticum aestivum (bread wheat). RNAcentral describes it as "partial small subunit ribosomal RNA". The record is from RNAcentral. Lineage: Eukaryota; Viridiplantae; Streptophyta; Magnoliopsida; Poales; Poaceae.